CUGCUGCCUCCCGUAGGAGUCUGGGCCGUAUCUCAGUCCCAAUGUGGCCGAUCACCCUCUCAGGUCGGCUACGCAUCGUCGCCUUGGUGGGCCGUUACCUCACCAACUAGCUAAUGCGACGCGAGCCCAUCUCAUACCGGAUUUCUCCUUUUACCCCUCUACCAUGCGGUAGUGUGGUCUUAUACCGUAUUAACCGAAGUUUCCCUCGGGUAUCCCGUUGUAUGAGGCAGCUUGCUCACGCGUUACUCACCCGUUCG
This 257-nucleotide ribosomal RNA is filed under the name uncultured bacterium. RNAcentral's name for it is "partial 16S ribosomal RNA". The record is from RNAcentral.